Molecule: long non-coding RNA, 1239 nt
Organism: Spinacia oleracea (spinach)
Lineage: Eukaryota; Viridiplantae; Streptophyta; Magnoliopsida; Caryophyllales; Amaranthaceae
Exons: 7
Source: RefSeq, a predicted model, not a curated record
CGAUAUUGUAUUUUCCUUGUUGAUAUGAGCAAACAGGGCAAAUUUAUCUAACUGCCUUUUUGAUAUUGGGUAUAACUAACAAAGAGGGCGAAAUGUUUUGAUUGCCCUUUAAUGCAGCUACCAAAGAGGGCGAAAUGUUUUGGUUGCCCUUUAAUAAUUAACCAGAGUAAUAUUAACAAAAGAGGAUGAAAGAUUCUUCGUCUUCUCCUCCCAAGUUUCUUCUAAUCCUUCAUUUUCCUUUUUAACCGACUUGAUCCAGAUAAACUUGAAUUUCCAUUCUCUUCUUCCCGAUUCAAAAAGAAAAAAAUAGUUUUUCUUUGCAAAUUUUCUGGAACCCUAGAAAUCGAUUUGUUCAAAAAAUCUCAAAAAGAUUUGAUCGGUUUCGGCAAUAAGAUUUCAGACGAUUUGAUAAGCUCUCCCUCCAAUCCAAAAGAUUUGCUAGAAUCAUUGUCCAAACACCUGGAUGUUGGCUUCUUCUUAGACUUUGGGGAUUUUCUUGCUUUUUUUAGCUUCAUGUUUGGAUUCACCUGCUGAGCCUAGGUCUAUUCCUUCAUCUUCGAUGUACCCCACGCUUGAUGUCGGUGAUAGGAUCUUGGCUGAGAAGUUACACCGAGCUGGAGAUUGUUGUCCCUGAUAAUGGGGUUAUUGGUUUGCAUUAUGAGAAUUUGGAGAUUGAGAGAGUUUUGGUAGAUGGGGAGCCAACAGAGUUUGAUGUUUUCCCUCACUAUCAUUCGUCCGAUCCCGGUUUUGGACAUUGCACAUCGUAUCCACUCUGUUGCAGUUUCAAAGAACGAUUUCUAGGAAACACAUUUCACUUAUACAAACAGAUUCCAGCCUAGGAAAAUAGCAUGAAAGAUAAUACCUACAUACUUUUGCUGUUGUUCUGGUUCCUCCUAAAAGAUGAUGUUAUACUAACAUAUGGUAAGGGCCUUGCGUACGAUCACACAACUUAUUCUGAGGAAAACUGAGGAGCAUAAAGCGUAGAGAAGAGCACAAAAGAGAACAAGCAUAUGAUGAUUGAUCGAGUAGGUUUUGAGUUGGCUGGACAAUCAUUUGAUAUAAGCAUGUAAUAGCUAUAGUGAAUUGUUCCUCUCUUUUUUGAUGGAAAUAUACCGAAGUUAGUUUUGAUCUAACCAUAAUAGUUGUAUGGAUUCAAAUGCUUGUUGUCUAUAUACUUUUACUCUCCCAAGAUGGACAUAAAUGUUAAAGUCCCAGUAUCAUAGUUUUUGAAAGGUGUAA